UAAAAUCAAAUCAAAGGAACUUGUUUUUUAAUCGACAAUACUCGAUAAAUUUUACUUUCAUUAUUAAGCUUAUAUACCGCCGUUUAAACCUAUUUUAAAUAACUCUUUAUAGCCCUAUCAAAAACUUCAGGUCAAGGUGUAGCCUAUAUUUUAGAUAAAAUAAGUUACUAUAAAACCUAUUUAUAGAAAUAAAGAAAACUUAAAUAAAACAGGAUUUAAAUUCAAUAAUUUAAUAAUAACAAAUUAUGAAGUUUAUUUGAAC
Molecule: ribosomal RNA, 262 nt
Filed under: Harpactocrates sp. n. Cantabrian
Lineage: Eukaryota; Metazoa; Arthropoda; Arachnida; Araneae; Dysderidae
Description: partial 12S ribosomal RNA
Source: RNAcentral